This 628-nucleotide long non-coding RNA is filed under the name Vigna radiata. RNAcentral describes it as "long non-coding RNA (VRAD_LNC008138)". Lineage: Eukaryota; Viridiplantae; Streptophyta; Magnoliopsida; Fabales; Fabaceae. The record is from RNAcentral.
AUAUAUAAUAAUAAUAAUAAUAAAAUAUAUAUAUUUGUUUUCCUAUAAGCCUACCAACCCACAUUUUACAAAAGGUCAGGACUUUUAAACUACCAUAGAGUUCACUUUCUCCAUUUUUUGUGGACCAAUAUCAUGAUAAGUCAAAUUAGUUUUGGGCCAUUACAUCUUACAUUGUUCAUUUAGUCGAGUUUAUAGGUAAAUUGGUUCUUUGUUUGAACUUUUAGAUAGAUUGGUCAUUUGGUCGAGUUUAUAGGUAAAUUGGUUCUUUGUUUGAACUUUUAGAUAGAUUGGUCAUUUGGUCGAGUUUUUUGGUAGAUUGGUCAGUCAGGUUUGGAAUAAUGGAGCAAGUAAAGUAUUAUUAGCAUAGCACAAAAAAACAUUCCUCAUCAUUAAAAUGUUUGCUAGUGGUAAUUGCUUCUCAGGAAAAUUGAUGAAUGCAUCAAAGAUGCACUUGCUACUACUAGUAUCAGUAUAUCUAAGAAUUCUGAAUUGGUUGGUUUAAAUAGUCUCGGACUGUUCGAUCAAGCUCUUAUGUGGACUGGUCAUUUUAUUGAGUUGUUAGAAAAUCAUUAUGUAAGAAUAGUCCUUUCGAGUUCUGUUGCUAACCUUAGGUAGGCUUUAUGUUAGG